This 597-nucleotide ribosomal RNA is filed under the name uncultured Spiroplasma sp. RNAcentral describes it as "bacterial SSU rRNA". It matches the Rfam family "Bacterial small subunit ribosomal RNA", at positions 134 to 719 of the family's 1533-position model. The record is from RNAcentral. Lineage: Bacteria; Bacillati; Mycoplasmatota; Mollicutes; Entomoplasmatales; Spiroplasmataceae.
UAGNGGGGAAUAACUGUUGGAAACGACAGCUAAUACCGCAUAAUAUUGCUGGAUAAUUUCCAGUAAUGAAAGGAGCUUUCAAGCUCCGCUGAUUGAUGAGGAUGCGGCGCAUUAGCUAGUUGGUAGGGUAAUGGCCUACCAAGGCAAUGAUGCGUAGCCGAUCUGAGAGGAUGAACGGCCACAUUGGGACUGAGACACGGCCCAAACUUCUACGGAAGGCAGCAGUAGGGAAUUUUUCACAAUGGGCGAAAGCCUGAUGGAGCAAUGCCGCGUGACUGAUGAAGGUCUUCGGAUUGUAAAGGUCUGUUGUAAGGGAAGAAAUGGUAAAACAGGAAAUGGUUUUAUCUAUGACGGUACCUUACCAGAAAGCCACGGCUAACUAUGUGCCAGCAGCCGCGGUAAUACAUAGGUGGCAAGCGUUAUCCGGAUUUAUUGGGCGUAAAGGGUGCGUAGACGGUUUUGCAAGUCUGAGGUUAAAUUUAGGAGCUCAACUCCUAAUCGCCUUGGAAACUACAAGACUAGAGUAUAGGAGAGGUUAGUGGAAUUCCAUGUGUAGCGGUGGAAUGUGUAGAUAUAUGGAGGAACACCAGUGGCGAA